CCUGAGAUAAUCAUGCCCAUCUCCCUGUUUCCAGACUAAAUAGCCCCUUCCCACCUGGGCCUUUUUGGGUACAGGUGGUGAUUGGGGUGGGGGUGGAAGUUUUAUUUCUAUUUAAGGUGAAAAUGCCCUCUUUGCUCACCUCUUCAGAAACCACUCCACCCCGAGAGCUAUCUCCCUCUCCUACCCAGAAAAAUCCUCAAUCCUUUGCUUUCCCUUCAUCUGACUGGCAAAGCCUCCCCAAGGAUUCAAACAGGGCCAAAUCCAGUAAGCUAUCAACUUCAGAUCUACCUUGGUAUCAAGAUCUUCCUCUGCUUUGAGACUGGGAAUCUAUCCUUAGUAAUUAAUAUUGAGGAGAUGGUACUUCUCUGGAUAAGUUGUGACAUGUAGCUGGAGCUCUUAAGGACCAGAUUGCUGAAAACCUCAUUCCAAGGAUUCACAGAGCCCGCAAGUUGCACUGGCCAGAGGCAGCAAAGGAGAGGACCGAGAAGCACAUUUGGAUUCCAAGCCUUGUUGCCCAACAUGCCUCCAUUCUCCCUAAGGCCUUUCUAAGCAGCUGGUACUUAGGAGGAGCAGGAGGCCCUGUGGGGCGGAGGACUGGAAGAACACUCUUCCCCCAACCACGGUCUCUGGAUUCUAACAACUAACUCUUCCCAGAUGAAGAGGCAGUCGGGGCAGGUAGCAAACGUCCAGGACUGAAUGUCAUCUUUGAGUCCCAGUUCCGAAUGUACUGAUAUGCAUGUGACCUUCAUUAAGUCAUUUAACAUCUCUGAAUCUGCUUUCUGGCCUGAAAUAGGAAAGCCUUCCCUGGCUACCCUGCAGAAUUGUCUUAAGGUUGUGAGAGCACUUUGAAAAAGUAUAUGUGAUAGAGAAGUGUGUGUGUGUGAUGAUAUGUUUAUAAAAAGAUAUUAUGUCACAUGACAAAAUUUUAUAAAAGGAGAACAGAUUUGUGUUGCCAAGGGCUAGGGAAGGGAAAGGGGAUUGUGGGAGGGACAUAACGGAACAAUAUGAGGAAGGCCCUGUAGUGAUAAAACCAUCCUAUAUCCUGACCAUGGUGGCAGAUGCCUGAACCUACACAUGAUAAAGCUGUACAGAACUAAAUACACACAGUGAAAUGAGUAUAAAUAAAACUGGAGAAAUCUAAAUAAGAUCAAUGAAUUAUGCCAAUGCCAACAUCCUGGCAAUAGGGACAAGGAGAUUUGGAGACUGGGGUUGAUAAAGUGCUGUUGGCAACUUGUGA
Bubalus bubalis (water buffalo) is the source of this 1237-nucleotide long non-coding RNA. RefSeq lists it as uncharacterized. NCBI's taxonomy places the organism in Eukaryota, Metazoa, Chordata, Mammalia, Artiodactyla, Bovidae. The record is from RefSeq and is a predicted model, not a curated record. The transcript is spliced from 4 exons.